Molecule: ribosomal RNA, 596 nt
Filed under: Tomentella asiae-orientalis
Lineage: Eukaryota; Fungi; Basidiomycota; Agaricomycetes; Thelephorales; Thelephoraceae
Description: partial large subunit ribosomal RNA
Rfam family: Eukaryotic large subunit ribosomal RNA
Source: RNAcentral
AAGCAUAUCAAUAAGCGGAGGAAAAGAAACUAACAAGGAUUCCCCUAGUAACUGCGAGUGAAGCGGGAAGAGCUCAAAUUUAAAAUCUGGCGUGCCUCUGGUCGUCCGAGUUGUAGUCUGGAGAAGCGUUUUCCGUGUUGGACCGUGUAUAAGUCUCUUGGAACAGGGCGUCAUAGAGGGUGAGAAUCCCGUCUUUGACACGGACUACCAAUGCUUUUGUGAUGCGCUCUCAAAGAGUCGAGUUGUUUGGGAAUGCAGCUCAAAAUGGGUGGUAAAUUCCAUCUAAAGCUAAAUAUAGGCGAGAGACCGAUAGCGAACAAGUACCGUGAGGGAAAGAUGAAAAGCACUUUGGAAAGAGAGUUAAACAGUACGUGAAAUUGCUGAAAGGGAAACGCUUGAAGUCAGUCAUGUCUGCCAGGACUCAGCCUUGCUUCUGCUUGGUGCACUUUCUGGUUUGAUGGGCCAACAUCAAUUUUGACCGUUGGAGAAAGGCUCUGGGAACGUGGCACCUUCGGGUGUGUUAUAGCCCUUUGUUGUAUACAACGGUUGGGAUUGAGGACCGCAGCACGCCUUUAUGGCCGGGGUCGCCCACGCAC